This 460-nucleotide ribosomal RNA is filed under the name uncultured bacterium. Its description in RNAcentral is "partial 16S ribosomal RNA". It matches the Rfam family "Bacterial small subunit ribosomal RNA", at positions 338 to 795 of the family's 1533-position model. The record is from RNAcentral.
CCUACGGGAGGCUGCAGUGAGGAAUAUUGGUCAAUGGACGAGAGCUUGAACCAGCGAAGUAGCGUGAAGGAUGACUGCCCUCUGGGUUGUAAACUUCUUUUAUAUGGGAAUAAAAUGUUCCACGUGUGGGAUUUUGUAUGUACCAUAUGAAUAAGGAUCGGCUAACUCCGUGCCAGCAGCCGCGGUAAUACGGAGGAUCCGAGCGUUAUCCGGUUUUAUUGGGUUUAAAGGGAUCGUAAGUGGAUUGUUAAGUCAGUUGUGAAAGUUUGCGGCUCAACCGUAAAAUUGCAGUUGAUACUGGCAGUCUUGAGUACAGUAGAGGUGGGCGGAAUUCGUGGUGAAGCGGUGAAAUGCUUAGAUAUAACGAAGAACACCGAUUGCGAAGGCAGUUCACUGGACUGCAACUGACACUGAGGCUCGAAAGUGUGGGUAUCAAACAGGAUUAGAUACCCCAGUAGUC